RNAcentral lists this transfer RNA (76 nucleotides) under Monodelphis domestica (gray short-tailed opossum). RNAcentral's name for it is "tRNA-Ala (TGC) (tRNA-Ala-TGC-7-1)". The stretch from base 8 to 71 matches the Rfam family "tRNA", at positions 5 to 66 of the family's 71-position model. From Rfam's summary of the family: Transfer RNA (tRNA) molecules are approximately 80 nucleotides in length. Their secondary structure includes four short double-helical elements and three loops (D, anti-codon, and T loops). Lineage: Eukaryota; Metazoa; Chordata; Mammalia; Didelphimorphia; Didelphidae. The record is from RNAcentral.
CCUUCAGCUUUGGCGCAGUAGGUAACGCAUCAGUCUUGCAAGCUGAAGGUUCUGAGUUCGAUCCUCGGAAGGAGGG